AAGUGUGGCUGGAUCACCUCCUUUCUAAGAGAAAGGUAUUACUUAAAGGUAAAUUAUGAAAUGUAAAUAUGUUUUAACUCUUCCUUUGUCUUUUCUAAGACUAUUUUUAGGGGGUUUAGCUCAGUUGGCUAGAGCAUCGGCUUUGCAAGCCGGGGGUCGAGGGUUCGAGUCCCUCAACCUCCAUUUAUUUUAGGCUGAAUAAAUGGAGGUUAUAAUUAGCAGUAAUGCUAUGUUGAUUGUAGCUAAAUUUAAAAUUGUUAAGGAUCCGUUCUAAUUUUAUUGUCUAGGUAAUGUGUUUUUUAUUAUGUCUUUAAUUAAGUACGGUUGUUUACGUAUGGCAAUUCAUGAUAAGUGAUCUUAAUUUAGAUUUUGUUUUUUCAUUUUUUGUUUGCAUUCGUUACAAUUAAUUUUUGAUUUUUAAGAUGUGGGUUUAGGAAUUGCAAAUCACUAAGCGUAAGGCAUUUCUUUAAAUAUUUGGAUGUUUC
Molecule: unclassified non-coding RNA, 485 nt
Filed under: Borrelia duttonii
Lineage: Bacteria; Pseudomonadati; Spirochaetota; Spirochaetia; Spirochaetales; Borreliaceae
Description: partial contains 16S ribosomal RNA and 16S-23S ribosomal RNA intergenic spacer
Rfam family: tRNA (bases 110-183)
Source: RNAcentral